ACCAUCAUCGUCUAGUGGUUUAGGAUACCAGAUUUUCAUACAACACAUGGAUAUUUUCUGGGGACCGGAGUUCGAACCUCCGUGAUGGUG
Molecule: non-coding RNA, 90 nt
Organism: Xylaria bambusicola
Lineage: Eukaryota; Fungi; Ascomycota; Sordariomycetes; Xylariales; Xylariaceae
Source: the annotation of a RefSeq genome assembly